UUUGAAUUAAGAGUUGUCCUUAAAGAAAUUAAUUUGAAGAAGCAAACAGGAAAUUCUACGCAAAAUUUAGGAAUAAUAACAAACGAAAAAAUUGCGGCGCGAUUAAUGCAUUUUGGUAUAGUUCCACUGCUGGGAUAUUACGAUGACCAUAGCAAUGAAACAUACUACUUUAUAUCACCAUAUUUUGAAAACGGGGACUUAUAUCAAGCCAUACACAAAGACAAAGAAAAUUUAGAAGACACUGAGAAAAUCAUUCUGAGCUCGGACAUCAGAUUAAAAAUUAUGUACCAAGUCUCUAGUGCAAUAGAUUUCAUGCAUACUGGCAACAUAUUCAGGGGAACAAUAUUGCAUAUGGACAUUAAAUCCGAAAAUAUUGUUUUGGAUGCAAAUUUCAAUGCGCGGUUGAUCGAUUUCGGCUUAGCUAGAGAACUGAGUGAAGGCGAAGAAUGUCUAAAGACUGAUGUGGCUGUUGGAACACCCGGAUAUUUUCCUGGGGAACAGAAAACGCUUACGAAACAACACGAUUAUCAGAACUUCGG
Dreissena polymorpha is the source of this 539-nucleotide long non-coding RNA. RefSeq lists it as uncharacterized. The transcript has 4 exons. Lineage: Eukaryota; Metazoa; Mollusca; Bivalvia; Myida; Dreissenidae. The record is from RefSeq and is a predicted model, not a curated record.